This 435-nucleotide ribosomal RNA is filed under the name uncultured bacterium. Its description in RNAcentral is "partial 16S ribosomal RNA". It matches the Rfam family "Bacterial small subunit ribosomal RNA", at positions 28 to 507 of the family's 1533-position model. The record is from RNAcentral.
GAUGAACGCUGGCGGUAUGCUUAACACAUGCAAGUCGAACGGACUCUUCGGAGUUAGUGGCGGACGGGUGAGUAACGCGUGAGAAUCUGGCUUUGGGUUCGGGACAACCACUGGAAACGGUGGCUAAUACCGGAUGUGCCGAGAGGUAAAAGAGAAAUUGCCUGAAGAUGAGCUCGCGUCUGAUUAGCUAGUUGGUGAGGUAAAGGCCCACCAAGGCAGCGAUCAGUAGCUGGUCUGAGAGGAUGACCAGCCACACUGGGACUGAGACACGGCCCAGACUCCUACGGGAGGCAGCAGUGGGGAAUUGUCCGCAAUGGGCGAAAGCCUGACGGAGCAAUACCGCGUGAGGGAAGAAGGCUCUUGGGUUGUAAACCUCUUUUCUUAGGGAAGAACAAAAUGACGGUACCUAAGGAAUCAGCAUCGGCUAACUCCGUG